Molecule: small nuclear RNA, 192 nt
Organism: Camelus dromedarius (Arabian camel)
Lineage: Eukaryota; Metazoa; Chordata; Mammalia; Artiodactyla; Camelidae
Gene: U2
Rfam family: U2 spliceosomal RNA
About the family: U2 is a small nuclear RNA (snRNA) component of the spliceosome (involved in pre-mRNA splicing). Complementary binding between U2 snRNA (in an area lying towards the 5' end but 3' to hairpin I) and the branchpoint sequence (BPS) of the intron results the bulging out of an unpaired adenosine, on the BPS, which initiates a nucleophilic attack at the intronic 5' splice site, thus starting the first of two transesterification reactions that mediate splicing.
Source: Ensembl
AUCGCUUUUUGGCCCUUUGGCUAAGAUCAAGUGUAGUAUCUGUUCUUAUCAGUUUAACAUCUAUAUACAUUCUCUACCUGAGAACGAAUUACUAAAUGGAUCUUUAGGGCAAGGAGCUGGACUAAGAGCUUGCUCCGUCUACUCCACGUAUCGACCUGGUAUUGCAGUGUUUCCAGGAACGGUGCCCUCCUA